UUAAACAAAUCCCAACAGAAUUCAGAUACCAACCGUGUGAAAAACACCUAAAAUAAAUAACCACAAGAUCUUGAGAAAAAAAAAAAGUAUAAACAAACGGUGAAUGAUGCAGGCGAUAUACAGGACAAACAAAUAAAAAUAUAUCUAAAUUUUGCAGCCAUUUGCCAUUCAAGCCCAGCAAGGAAUUUAAAAUUGAUUGCCG
This 202-nucleotide unclassified non-coding RNA is filed under the name Hevea brasiliensis (rubber tree). The record is from RNAcentral. Lineage: Eukaryota; Viridiplantae; Streptophyta; Magnoliopsida; Malpighiales; Euphorbiaceae.